This 432-nucleotide long non-coding RNA is filed under the name Homo sapiens (human). Its description in RNAcentral is "novel transcript". Lineage: Eukaryota; Metazoa; Chordata; Mammalia; Primates; Hominidae. The record is from RNAcentral.
CUCAAAUAUAAAAUUUUCUUUUUAAUUCUCAGCAAGGCAAAGUACUUCUACAGAAAGGUGUGCCCUUACAGAUGGAGCAAUGAUGGAGUCUCACUUUGUCAGUCAGACUGGAGUGCAGUAGCACGAUCUCAGCUCACGGCAACCUCUGCCUCUCGGGUUCAAGAGAUUCUCUCAAGUAGCUGGUAUUACAGAGGCCCUGGACAAUGUCAACAUCAGGAGCCUCAUAUGCGCUGGAGAGGCCAGUGGACCUGCUCCAGCACCUGGUGCUGCACCAGUGGGAGGUCCUGCUCCCUCCACCACUGCAGCCCAAGCUGAAGAGAGGGAAGUGGAAUCAAAGAAAGAAGAAUCCGAGGAGUCUGAUGAUGCAUGGGCUUUGGUCUUUUUUGACAAAAUCUCUUUUGUAACAUGUUCAAUAAAAAACCAAACUCUUAA